AGAAUCAACGCUGGCGGCGUGCCUAACACAUGCAAGUCGAACGAGAAAGGGACUUCGGUCCUGAGUAUAGUGGCGCACGGGUGAGUAACACGUGAAUAAUCUACCUCCGAGUGGGGAAUAACCAAAAGAAAUUUUGGCUAAUACCGCAUAACACUUACGAGUCAAAGCAGCAAUGCGCUUGGAGAGGAGUUCGCGGCAGAUUAGUUAGUUGGCGGGGUAAUGGCCCACCAAGACGAUGAUCUGUAUCCGGCCUGAGAGGGCGCACGGACACACUGGAACUGAAACACGGUCCAGACUCCUACGGGAGGCAGCAGUGGGGAAUUUUGCGCAAUGGGGGAAACCCUGACGCAGCAACGCCGCGUGGAGGAUGAAGUAUCUUGGUACGUAAACUCCUUUCGAUGGGAAGAUAAUGACGGUACCCAUAGAAGAAGCCCGGCUAACUUCGUGCCAGCAGCCGC
This 458-nucleotide ribosomal RNA is filed under the name uncultured bacterium. Its description in RNAcentral is "SSU rRNA". It matches the Rfam family "Bacterial small subunit ribosomal RNA", at positions 26 to 518 of the family's 1533-position model. The record is from RNAcentral.